This 305-nucleotide ribosomal RNA is filed under the name uncultured Anaeroplasmataceae bacterium. RNAcentral describes it as "partial 16S ribosomal RNA". The record is from RNAcentral. Lineage: Bacteria; Bacillati; Mycoplasmatota; Mollicutes; Anaeroplasmatales; Anaeroplasmataceae.
GGAGUCUGGGCCGUGUCUCAGUCCCAAUGUGGCCGUUCGUCCUCUCAGACCGGCUACGCAUCAUCGCUAUGGUGGGCCAUUACCCCGCCAUCUGGCUAAUGCGCCACAGGCCCCUCCUUAAGUAGAUUGCUCUUUUAAACAUCUAAUCAUGUGAUUUGUGAUGUCCUAUCCAGUUUUAUCUUCCAUUUCUAGAAGCUAUCCUCGUCUUAAGGACAGGUUACCUAUGUAUUACUCACCCGUUCGCCACUGGAGUGCAAGCACUCCCGUUCGACUUGCAUGUAUUAGGCAUGCCGCCAGCGUUCAUC